GCAGAACAAAUACUAAAUAAUCAGCAGGAAAUAGAGUUGCAUUGCUGUAUGAGAAACUGAAAAAUGAAGCUCCUCACAAGCACAGAACAAAUCAUAGCGUGAUACAGUGAUUCACAAGUACAGUUGCCUGCCUGCCUACGCAUCUUGAUUCAAUUACGGCACUAUCAAAACAACCCAUAGAUCCCCAAGUAUUCAUACAGAGAAACUACAGCUCCCCGUAGCAUAUGUGCAGCGACAUACUUAAAUUUAUGCAACUAAUCACAUCCUAAUUGACCCAGAAACGCCAUACUGUUUUGUUUGCAACAGCAUGUAAAUAGGACCAUCAAAUCUGUGCUUGGAACCGACGGAGGAAAUCGAAGCAGAGUGGUGGUAGAGGGUUGGGAGGCGUACUCGCAGUGGAGGCAGUAGAACUGGCCCAUGCCAGGGAGGUCCUCGUCGACGGGCAGCGGCUUUCCCUCGCAGUCCUUGCCCUGGUCGGCCAGCUUGACGAGCUCGUCGUAGACGGCGUCGUCGGCUUUGACGAGGAACUUGCCGCGGCGCACCGUCUUGCAGUUGAGACGGCGCUUCUUGACCUUGCGGUGCGGGCACUUGCCUCCCAUCGGCGGCGGCGGCGGCUAGGGUUUCGGCUCCGGGGGGAAACGAACCCUGGAGAGCGGAAGUAUGGAGAGAGAGGUAGACGAAGGGGAGAGAGGGUUUGCUAUAGAUCCAUAAGAGAGGCUUGAGUUGACUGGGCCGAGCUCGAAUCCGGUUAUCGUCAAUGUCUGCACAAAUGAGAAGCCCAGUUCCCCCAAGAAAGAAAAAGCUUUCCUUAACCGUCCGAUCUGGCCCAAUUCUAUUAUCCGCGUGACGCAGGGAAGAAAUCGAAAUCAAGUACUCCUUUUUUCAAAAAUCACUCUCACCGCCUCAGGUUGCGACAAGUGAUGCACUGUAUACGUGUUACUUGUCACAACCUUGAAGUUUUUAUUUUUUUCGUAUAUUUUUAUUUUUAAAACGUUUUAUCUCCUAAACCGCGUUUAAAUCUUAAACCAUUUUUACAGUUGAAUUUCUUGUGUCGAGAUCUUCAAAAUUAGAUCCCAUGUUGAUAGGUUUUGAUGAACAUUUUUUUAUGAAAAAGAUAAACAAAAAAAGUACUUCUUAUGAUAAAAAAACAGAAAUCAUGUUUUUUUGUGUUUUUUUUUUUCUGAAAGGCACGCUCAUCAUAGAAGCAAAAUUGUGUCUUUCGCCAAAAAAACACCUUUUUUGUCUCUUUGGGAACCCGGGGUCCGGCUACGUGGUAAUCGUCAAAACUCGUAGUUUUGGUCAAUUCUUGCCAAUUUUCUAUGUCAUUAAUCAAUAAUUUUGGGGUCCCGCUGUAAUUCGAACGUUUGGGAACCCUAUGGCCCGGUUAUGGGAAACUCGUCAAAACUCAUAGAUUUAGCCUAUUGUGGCUAGUUUUAUAUGAUAUUACUCAUUGAUUUUGCAUCCUGUUGCGAUUAAAACGUUCGGGGAAUCCCAUGGUCCGGUUACGGGUAACUCGUCAGAACUCGUAGUUUUGGCCUAUUCUCGCCAAUUUCCUACACUAUUACUAACUGAUUUUGGUAUCCGUUGCGAUUCGAACGUUCGGGCAACCCCGGGGUCCGCUUACGUGGAACUCGUUAGAACUCGCAGUUUUGGCCUAUUCUAGCUAGUUUCUAUACAACUCACUAAUUUUGGGUCCCGUGUGAUCCGAAUGUUUUGGGAACCCCGGGGUCCGGUUAUGGUGAACUCGUCAAAACUCACGCUUUUGGCCUACUCCCGCUAGAUUUCUAUACUAUUACUCACUGAUUUUGGGUCACACUGCGAUCCGAACAUUUCGAAAACCCCGUGGUCCGAUUACAGGGAACUCGUCAAAACUAUUAGAUUUGACCUAUUCUGACCAGUUUUCUAUCCUAUUACGCAGUGAUUCUGGGUCCCAGUGAGAUUCGAACACUCGGGGAACCCGAGGAUCCAGUUACGGGGAACUCGUCAAAACUCGCCGUUUUGGCCUAUUCGGGUCAGUUUUCUAUACUAUUACUCACUGAUUUUGGGUCCGAGUGUGAUCCCAACGUUGGGGAACCCGAGGGUGCGGUUACCGGGAACUUGUCAAAACUCGCAGUUUUGGCCUAUUCUGGCUAGUUUCUAUGCUAUUACUCAUUGAUUUUGGGUCCCGCUGCGAUUUGAACGUUCAGGGAACCCCGGGGUCCGGCUACGGGGUACUCAUCAAAACUCGUAGUUUUGGCUUAUUCUCACCAAUUUUCUAUGCUAGUAAUCAAUCAUUUUGGGUCCCGCUGUAAUUUGAACGCCAGGGGAACCCUGUGGUCUGGUAACGGGGAACUCGUCAAAACUCAUAGAUUUGGCCUAUUCUGGCUAGUUUUGUAUGCUAUUACUCAGUGAUUUUGGGUCGUGUUGCGAUCCAAACAUUCGGGGAACCCGGGGGUCCAGUUACGGGGUAUUUGUCAAAACUCACAGCUUUGGCCUAUUCUCGCAAUCUUUGUAUACUAUUACUCACUCAUUUUGUGUCCCGAGGCGACCCGAACGUUUGGGGAACCGAGGGGUGUAGUUAUGGGGAACUCAUCAAUACUUGCAGAUUUGGCCUAUUUUAGCAACUAUUCUAUCCUAUUACUUAGUGGUUUUGGGUCCCGCUGCGAUCCAAACGUUCAGGAAACCCCAGGGUCCGGUUACGGGGAACUCGUCAAAACUUGCAGAUUUGGGCUAUUAUAGCUAGUUUUCUAUACUAUUACUCACUCAUUUUGUGUCCCACUACAAUCCAAACGUUUCGGGAAUCCUAGGAUCCGGUUAUGGGAAAAUUGUCAAAACUCGCAGUUAUGGCCUAUUACUCAUUCAUUUUGGGACCCGCUACAAUCCGAACGUUCGGGGAACCCUGCGGUCCGGUUUCGGGGAACUCGCCAAAACUCACAGAUUUCGCCUAUUAUGACCACUUUUCUAUCCUAUUGCUUAGUGAUUUUGGGUCCCGUUGCGAUUCGAACGCUCGAUGAAUCCCGAGGUCUGGUUACGAGGAACUCGUCAAUACUCGCAGUUUUGGCCUAUUCCGGUUAGUUUCUAUACUAUUACUCACUGAUUUUGGGUGUCGUUGCGAUCCGAACGUUCGGGGAACCCUGGGGUCUGGCUACGGGGUACUCGUCAAAACUUGCACUUUGGCCUAUUCUUGUCAAUUUUCUAUGUUAUUAAUCAAUCAUUUUGGGUCCCGCUGCAAUUCAAACGUUUGGGGAACCCUGCGGUCCGAUUAUGGAGAUCUCGUCAAAACUCACAAAUUUGGCCUAGUAUGACCAGUUUUCUAUCCUAUUACUUAGUGAUUUUGGGUCCUGUUGCGAUCUGAACGUUUUGGGAACCUCGGGGUCCGGUAACGGGGAACUCGUCAAAACUUUAGGUUUUGGCCUGGCGCAGUUUUCUACGCUUAUUACUCACUGAUUUUGAGUCCCGCUGCGAUCUGAACGUUCAGUAACCCCGGGGUCCGGCUACGGGGUACUCGUCAAAAGUNNNNNNNNNNUAGUUUUAAUACUAUUGCUCAUUGAUUUUAGGACCCGCUACGAACUAAACGUCCAGGGAACGCCGGGGUCCGGUUAUGGGGAACUCGUCAUAACUCGCAGUUUUGGCCUGUUAUGGCUAGUUUUCUAUACCAUUACUCACUGGUUUUGUGAUCCGCUGCGAUUCGAACGUUCGGGGAACCCCGUGGUCCAGCUACGGGAACCUCGUGAAAACUCGUAGUUUUGGCCUAUUCUGGCCAAUUUUCAGUACUAUUACUCACUGAUUUCGAGUCCCGUUGUGAUUCGAACGUUUGGGGAACCCCGGGGUCCGGUUAUGGGGAACUCGUGAAAACUCGUAGUUUUGGCCUAUUCUGGCUAGUUUCCUAUACUAUUACUCACUGAAUUUGGGUCCCGUGUGAUCCGAACAUUUUGGGAACCCUGGGAUCCGGUUACACGGAACUCGUCAAAACUCAAAGUUUUGGCCUACUCUCGCUAGUUUUUUUAUACCAUUGCUCACUUGUUCUGGGUCCCGCUGUGAUCUGAACAUUUUCGGAACACCGAGGUCCGGUUACGGGGAACUCAUCAAAACUCUUAGAUUUGGCCUAUUUUGUCCAGUUUUCUAUAAUAUUACUCAGUGAUUCUCGGUCCCGCCGCUAUUCGAACUCUCCGGGAACCCAAGGGUCCGGUUACGGGGAACUCAUCAAAACUCGCUGUUUUGGCCUAUUGUGGUCAGUUUUCUAUACUAUUACUCGCUAAUUUUGGGUCCCACUAUGAUCCGAACGUUUUAGGAACCUCGGGGUCCGGUUACCGGGAACUCAUCGAAAUUCAUACUUUUGGCCUAUUCUGGCCAGUUUCUAUGCUAUUACUCACUGAUUUUGGGCCCCGCUACGAUCCGAACAUUCGGGGAACCCCGGGGUCCGACUAUGGGGUACUGGUCAAAACUCACAGUUUUGGCUUAUUCUCGAAAAAUUUUCUAUGCUAUUGAUCAAUCAUUUUGGGUCCCGCUGCAAUCUGAACGUUCGGGGAACCCUGCGGUCCGGUUAUGGGAACUCGUCAAAACUCACAGAUUUGGCCUUUCCUGGCCAGUUUUGUAUGCUAUCACACACUGACUUUGGGUCCUGUUCGAUCCAAACUUUCAGGGAACCCCGUGGGUCCGGUUACGGGGUAUUUAUAAAAUCUCACAGCUUUGGCCUAUUAUGGCCCGCUUUCUAUAAUUUUACUCACUCGUUUUGGGUCUCGGGGCGACCUGAACGUUUGGGUAACCAAGGGUGUGGUUUUGGGGAACUCGUCAGAACUCACAGUUUUGGCCUAUUCUGGCUAGUUUUCUAUAUACUUUUACUCACAAUUAUGGGUCCUACUGUGAUCCGAACGUUUGGGGAACCCCGGGGUCCGGCUACGGGGAACUCGUCAAAACUCACAAAUUUGGCCCAUUCUAGUGAGUUUUCUAUCCUAGUACUCGCUAGUUUUCUAUACUAGUACUCACUGAUUUUGGGUCCCAUUGUGAUCCGAACGUUUUGGGAACCUCGGGGUCCAGUAACGGGGAACUCGUCAAAACUUGAAGUUUUGGCCUAUUCUCGCGCAGUUUUCUACGCUUAUUACUCACUCAUUUUGGGUCCCGCUGUGAUCCGAACGUUUAGUAACCCCGGGGUCCGGCUACGGGGUACUCGUCAAAAGUUGCAGUUUAGGCCUAUUUUGUCCAAUUUUCUAUGCUAUUAAUCAAUCAUUUUGGGUCCCGCUGCAAUCCNNNNNNNNNNNNNNNNNNNNNNNNNNNNNNNNNNNNNNNNNNNNNNNNNNNNNNNNNNNNNNNNNNNNNNNNNNNNNNNNNNNNNNNNNNNNNNNNNNNNNNNNNNNNNNNNNNNNNNNNNNNNNNNNNNNNNNNNNNNNNNNNNNNNNNNNNNNNNNNNNNNNNNNNNNNNNNNNNNNNNNNNNCAUUACUUAGUUAUUUUGGCUCAUGUUGGGAUUCAAACAUUUGGGGAACCCCGGGGUCCGGUUACAAGGUACUUGUCAAAACCUACAUGUUUUGCCUAUGCUCGCCAGCUUUCUAUACUAUUACUCACUCAUUUUGGGCCCCGCGGCGACACGAAAGUUCGGGGAACCCCGAGGUCCGGUUAAGAGGAAUUCAUCAAAACUCACGGUUUUGUCCUAUUAUGGUCAGUUUUCUAUGCUCUUACUCACUGAUUUUGGGUCCCGCUGCUAUCCGAACGCUCGGGGAACCCCGGGGUCCGGUUACGCGGAACACGUCAAAACUUGCAAUUUUGGCCUUUUCUGGCUAGUUUUCUAUACUAUUACUCACUGAUUUUGGGACCCACUACGAACUAAACGACUAGGGAACGCCGGGGUCCGGUUAUGGGGAACUCGUCAUAACUCGUAGUUUUGGCCUAUUUUGGCUAGUUUUCUAUACCAUUACUCACUGGUUUUGGGAUCUGCUGCGAUUCGAACGUUCGGGGAACCCCGGGGUCCGGCUACGGGAACCUCGUGAAAACUCGUAAUUUUGGCCUAUUCUGGCCAAUUUUCAAUACUAUUAAUCACUGAUUUUGGGUCCCGUUGUGAUUGAAACGUUUGGGGAACCUCGGGGUCCGGUUAUGGGGAACUCAUCAAAACUCGCAGUUUUGGCCUAUUCUAGCUAGUUUCCUAUACUAUUAGUCACUGAAUUUGGGCCCCGUGUGAUCCGAACGUUUUGGGAACCCCAGGAUCCGGUUACACGGAACUCGUCAAAACUCAAAGUUUUGGCCUACUCUUGCUAGUUUUAUACUAUUACUCACUCAUUCUGGGUCCCGCUAUCAUCCGAACAUUUUGGGAACCCCGAGGUCCGGUUAUGGGGAACUCAUCACAACUCUUAGAUUUGUCCUAUUUUGUCCAGUUUUCUAUCAUAUUACUCAAUGAUUCUCGGUCCCGCUGCUAUUCGAACUCUCGGGGAACCCCAGGGUCCGGUUGCGGGGAACUCAUCAAAACUCGCUAUUUUGGCCUAUUGUGGCCAGUUUUAUAUACUAUUACUCACUAAUUUUGGAUCCCACUAUGAUCCGAAUGUUUUAGGAACCCCGGGGUCCGGUUACCGGAACUCAUCCAAAUUCGCGGUUUUGGCCCAUUCUGGCCACUUUCUAUGCUAUUACUCACUGAUUUUGGGCCCCGCUACGAUCCAAACAUUCGGGGAACCCCGGGGUCUGGCUACGGGGUACUGGUCAAAACUCGCAGUUUUGGCUUAUUCUCGAAAUUAUUUCUAUGCUAUUAAUCAAUCAUUUUGGGUUCCGCUGCAAUCUGAACAUUCGGGUAACCCUGCGGUCCGGUUACGGGGAACUCGUCAAAACUCACAUAUUUGGCCUCUACUGGCCAGUUUUGUAUGCUAUUACUCAGUGACUUUGGGUCCUGUUCAAUCCAAACUUUCAGGGAACCCAGGGGGUCCAGUUACGGGAUAUUUAUAAAAUCUCACAACUUCCGCCUAUUAUGGCCCGCUUUCUAUAAUAUGACUCACUCAUUUUGGGUCUCGUGGCGACCUGAACGUUUGGGGAACCCACGGGUGUGGUUUUGGGGAACUCAUCAAAACUCAUAGUUUUGGCCUAUUCUGGAUAGUUUUCUAUAUACUUUUACGCACUAUUUUGGGUCCUGCUGUGAUCCGAACGUUUCGGGAACCCCGGGGUCCGGCUACGGGGAACUCGUCAAAACUCACAGAUUUGGCCUAUUCUAGCGAGUUUUCUAUCCUAUUACUUAGUGAUUUUGGGUCCCACUGUGAUCCGAACGUUCGGGAAACCCUGGGGUCCGGUUACGGGGAACUCGUGAAAACCCGCAGUCUUGCCCUAUUGUGCUAGUUUUCUACAGUAUUACUCACUGAUUUUGGGACCCGCUGCAAUCCGAACGUUUCGGGAACCCUAGGGUCCAGUUACGGGGAACUCGUCAAAACUCGCAGUUUGGCCUAUCCUGGCCAGUUUUUUAUGCUAUUAAUCGUGAUUUUGGAUCUCGUUGCGAUCCGAACGUUCGGGGAACCCCGGGGUCCGGCUACGGGUACCCAUCAUAACUUGCACUUUUGGCCUAUUAUUGCCAAUUUUCUAUGCUAUUAAUCAAUCAUUUUGGAUCCCGCUCCAAUUCAAACCUUCGCGGAACCCCGGGGGUCCGAUUACGGGGAACUCGUCAAAACUCGCAAUUUUGGCAUAUUCUCGCUAGUUUUCUAUACUAUUACUCACUGAUUUUGGGUCCCGGUGUGGUCCGAACGUUUUGGGAACCCCGGGGUCCGGUAACGAGGAACUCGUCAAAACUUGCAGUUUGGCCUAUUCUCGCGCAGUUUUCUACGCUUAUUACUCACUGAUUUUGGGUCCCGCUCCGAUCCGAACGUUCAGUAACCCCGGGGUCCGGCUACGGGGUACUCGUCAAAAGUUGUAGUUUUGCCCUAUUCUGGCCAAUUUUCUAUGCUAUUAAUCAAUCAUUUUGUGUCCCGCUACAGUCCAAAUGUUUGGGGAACGCUGCGGUCCGGUUACGGGGAACUCGUGAAAACUCGUCAAAUGUUCGGGGAACCCCGCGCCGGGUUACAACGUACUUGUCAAAACCUACAUGUUUUGCCUAUACUUGCGAGCUUUCAAUUCUAUUACUCACUCAUUUUGGGUCCCGCGGCGACACGAAAGUUCGGGUAACCCCGAGGUCCGGUUAAGGGGAAUUCAUCAAAACUUGCAGUUUUGGUCUAUUCUCGUGAGUUUUCUGUGCUCUUACUCAUUGAUUUUGGGUCCCGCUGCUACCCGAACGCUUGGGGAACCCCCGGGUCCGGUUACGCGAAACUCGUCAAAACUCGCAAUUUUGGCCUAUUCUGGCUAGUUUUCUAUACUAUUGCUCACAGAUUUUGGGACCCGCUACGAACUAAACGUACAGGGAACGCCGGGGUCCGGUUAUGGGGAACUCGUCAUAACUCGCAGAUUUGGCCUAUUAUGCCUAGUUUUCUGUAGCAUUACUCACUGAUUUUGGGAUUCGCUGCGACUCGAACGUUCGGGGAACCCCGCGGUCCGGCUACGGAAACCUCGUGAAAACUCGUAGUUUUGGCCUCUUCUAGCCAAUUUUCAAUACUACUACUCACUGAUUUUGGGACCCGUUGUGAUUUGAACAUUUGGGGAACCCCGGGGUCCGGUUAUGGGGAACUCAUCAAAACUCGCAGUUUUGGCCUAUUCUCGCUAGUUUCCUAUACUAUUACUCACUGAAUUUGGGUCCCGUGUAAUCCGAACGUUUUGGAAACCCGAGGAUCCAGUUACAUGGAACUCGUCAAAACUCACAGUUUUGGCCUACUCUCGCUAGUUUUUUUAUACUAAUACUCACUUAUUCUGGGUCCCACUGUGAUCCGAACAUUUUGGGAACCCUGAGGUCCGGUUACGGGGAACUCACCAAACUCUUAGAUUUGGCCUAUUUUGUCCAGUUUUCUAUCAUAUUACUCAGUGAUUCUAGGAACCGCCGCUAUUCGAACUCUCGGGGAACCCCAGGGUCUGGUAACGAGGAACUCAUCAAACCCCCCCUAUUUUGGCCUAUUGUGGCCAGUUUUCUAUACUAGUACUCGCUGAUUUUGGGCCCCACUACGAUCCGAACAUUCGGGGAACCCCGGGGUCCGGCUACGAGGUACUAGUCAAAACUCGCAGUGUUGGCUUAUUCUUGAAAAAAUUUCUAUGCUAUUAGUGAACCAUUUUGGGUCCCGUUGCAAUCUGAACGUUCGGGGAACCCUGCGGUUCGGUUACGGGGAACUCGUAAAAGUUACAGAUUUGGCCUCUUCUGGCCAGUUUUGUAUGCUAUUACUUAGUGAGUUUGGGUCCUGUUCGAUCCAAACUUUGAGGGAACCCAGGGGUCCGGUUGCGGGGUAUUUGUCAAAACUCACAGCUUUGGCCUAUUCUGGCCCGCUUUCUAUACUAUUACUCACUCAUUUUGGGUCUCGGGGCGACCUGAACAUUUGGGAAACCCACGGGUGUGGUUUCGGGGAAGUCGUCAAAACUCACAGUUUUGGCCUAUUCUGGCUAGUUUUCUAUACUAUUACUCACUCAUUUUGGGUCUAGCCGCGAUCUGAAUGUUUCGGGAACGCCGGGGCCCGAUUACGGGGAACUUCUCAAAACUCGUAGAUUUGGCCUAUUUUAGCGAGUUUUCUAUCCUAUUACUGAGUUAUUUUGGGUCCCACUGUGAUCCAAACGUUCGAGAAACCUCGAGGUCCGGUUACGGGGAACUCUUCAAACUCGCAGUCUUGGCCUAUUGUGGCUAGUUUUCUACACUAGUACUCACUGAUUUUUUGUCCCGAUGCAAUCCUAACAUUUCAAGAACCCUAGGGUCCAGUUACGGGGAACUCGUCAAAACUCGUAGUUUUGGCCUAUCCUGGCGAGUUUUUUAUGCUAUUACUCAUGAUUUUGGGUCUCGCUCCGAUCCGAAAGUUCGCGGAACCUCGGGGUCCGGCUACGGGUACUCAUCAAAACUUGCACUUUUGGCCUAUUCUUGCCAAUUUUGUAUGCUAUUAAUCAAUCAUUUUGGGUCCCGCUACAAUUCGAACAUUCGCGGAACCCCGGGGUCCGGUAACGGGGAACUCGUCAAAACUUGCAGUUUCGGCCUAUUCUCGCGCAGUUUUCUAUGCUUAUUACUCAAUAAUUUUGGGUCCAGCUCCGAUCCGAACGUUCAGUAACCCCGGGGUCCGGCUACCGGGUACUCGUCAAAAGUUGCAGCUUUGGCCUAUUCUAGCCAAUUUUCUAUGGUAUUAAUCAAUCAUUUUGGGUCCCGCUGCAAUCCAAACGUUCGGGGAAUCCUGCGGUCCGGUUACGGGAAACUCGUCAAAACUCACAGAUUUGGCCUAUUUUGGAUAGUUUUGUAUGCUAUUACUUAGUUAUUUUGGCUCAUGUUGCGAUUCAAACGUUCGGGGAACAUCGGGAUCCGGUUACAAGGUACUUGUCAAAACCUACAGCUUUUGCCUAUGCUCGCGAGCUUUGUAUACUAUUACUCACUCAUUUUGGGUCCCACGGCGACACGAAAGUUCGGGUAACCCCGAGGUCCGGUUAAGGGGAAUUNNNNNNNNNNCAGUUUUGGCCUAUUAUGUCCAAUUUUCUAUGCUAUUAAUCAAUCAUUUUGGGGCUCGGUGCAAUCCAAAUGUUCCGGGAACCCUGCGGUCCGGUUACGGGGAACUCGGAAAAACUCACAGAUUUGGCCUAUUUUGGAUAGUUUUGUAUGCUAUUACUUAGUUAUUUUGGCUCAUGUUGCGAUCCAAACGUUCGGGGAACCCUGGGGUCCGGUUAGAGGGUACUUGUCAAAACCUACAUAUUUUGCCUAUGCUCGCCAGCUUCCUAUACUAUUACUCACUCAUUUUGGGUCCCGCGACGACACGAAAGUUCGGGGAACCCCGAAGUCCGGUUAAGGGGAAUUCAUCAAAACUCGCAGUUUUGGCCUAUUCUGGUCAGUUUUCUAUGCUCUUACUCACUGAUUUUGGGUCCCGCUACUAUCCGAACGCUUGGGGAACCCCGGGGUCCGGUUACGCGGAACUCGUCAAAACUCGCAAUUUUGGCCUAUUCUGGCCAGUUUUCUAUACUAUUACUCACUCAUUUUGGGACCCACUACGAACUAAACAUCCAGGGAACGUCGCGGUCCGGUUAUGGGGAACUCGUCAUAACUCACAGUUUUGGCCUAUUAUGGCUAGUUUUGUAUGCCAUUACUCAGUGUUUUUUGGAUCCGCUACGGCUCGAACGUUCGGGGAACCCCGGGGUCCGGCUACGGGAACCUAGUGAAAACUCGUAGUUUUGGCCUAUUCUGGCCAAUUUUCAAUACUACUACUCACUGAUUUCGGAACCCGUUUUUAUUCGAACGUUUGGGGAACCCCGGGGUCCGGUUAUGGGGAACUCAUCAAAAUUUGCAGUUUUGGCCUAUUCUGGCUAGUUUCCUAUACUAUUACUCACUAAAUUUGGGUCCCAUGUGAUCCGAACAUUUUGGAAACCCCGGGAUCCGGUUACAGGGAACUCGUCGAAACUCACAGUUUUGGCCUACUCUCGCUACUUUUUUAUACUAUUACUCACUUAUUCUCGGUCCCGCUGUGAUCCGAACAUUUUGGGAACCCUGAGGUCUGGUUACGGGGAACUCAUCAAAACUCUUAGAUUUGGCCUAUUUUGUCCAGUUUUCUAUAAUAUUACUCAGUGAUUCUGGGAACCGCCGCUAUUCGAACUCUCGGGGAACCCCACGGUCCGGUAACGGGGAACUCAUCAAAAACCCCAAUUUUGGCCUAUUGUGGCCAGUUUUCUAUACUAUUACCCGCUGAUUUUGGGUCCCACUAUGAUCCGAACGUUUUGGGAACGUCGGGGUCCGAUUACCGGGAACUCGUCGAAAUUUGCAGUUUUGGCCUAUUCUGGCCAGUUUCUAUGCUAUUACUCACUGAGUUUGGGCCCCGCUACGAUCGAACAAUCGGGGAACCCCGGGGUCCGGCUACCGGGUACUCGUCAUAACUCGCAGUGUUUGCUUAUUCUCGCCAAUUUUCUAUGCUAUUAAUGAAUCAUUUUGGGUCCCGCUACAAUAUGAACGUUCGGGGAACCCUGCGGUCCGGUUACGAGGAACUCGUAAAAACAUACAGAUUUGGCCUCUUCUGGCCAAUUUUGUAUGCUAUUACUCAGUGAUUUUGGGUCUUGUUCGAUCCAAACUUUCAGGGAACCCAGUGAUACGUCUCAAACGUAUCUAUAAUUUUUGAUGGUUUCACGCUGUUAUCUUGCCUUUUUUGUAUGUUUUAUGUACCUUUUUAUAUCUUUUUGGGACAAACUUAUUAAUUCAGUGCCAAGUGCCAGUUCCUGUUUUUUCCGUGUUUUUGACUCUUUUCAGAUCUGAUUUUGGAACGGAGUCCAAACGGAAGAAAAACCCCAAAAUGAUUUUUUCCCGAACGGAAGAAGUCUAGGGGGCUUUUGGGCCAAGCCAGGUGGGCUCCAGGGAGCCCACAAGCCCCCACUCUGCCACCAGGGGGAGGCGGCGGUGGGCAGGCUUGUGGCCUCCCUGGCCGCCCCCUGACCUAGGUCUUUGGCCUAUAAAUUCCCAAAUAUUCCGCAAAAAAUCAGGGGAGCCUCGAAAAUACUUUUCCGCCGCCCCAAGCUUUCGUUUCCGCGAGAUCUCAUCUAGAGACCCUUCCCGGCGCCCUGCCGGAGGGGACUUUGGAGUUGGAGGGAUUCUUCAUCAUCAUCAUCGCCCCUCCAAUGACUCGUGAGUAGUUCACUUCAGACCUACGGGUCUGUAGUUAGUAGCUAGAUUGCUUCUUCUCUCUCUUGGAUCUUCAAUACAAAGUUCUCCAUGAUCUUCNNNNNNNNNNCCACGUAUGACUACACACGGAAUGCAUGCCUACAUCACAUUGACGAACGGGAGAUAGCCACAUAUCUCUCCGUGUUAUAAUUGUUGCAAGAUGAAUGUCAUCCAAACGAAUCACCGACCCAUUGCCUACGAGUUUGUCCCAUUGCUGCUGCUACUUGUUAUGCUCUGCUGCUGUUACUACUGUUGCUUGCUACUUGCUAUUGUUGCUACUUGCUACUGUUGUCACUAAUGUUGUUCCUUGCCACUGUUGUUACUCGUUACGCUGCUGCUACCUGCUACAAUACUUAUUCGCUCGACGUUGACGGGAAAGAAUAUUUCCCGUCCACGGGCAAGUUCUGGCGCCAUUGAUACAACAGUUAGGAAUAGUCUGCCUUGUCAACAGAUCGUUNNNNNNNNNNNNNNNNNNNNNNNNNNNNNNNNNNNNNNNNNNNNNNNNNNNNNNNNNNNNNNNNNNNNNNNNNNNNNNNNNNNNNNNNNNNNNNNNNNNNNNNNNNNNNNNNNNNNNNNNNNNNNNNNNNNNNNNNNNNNNNNNNNNNNNNNNNNNNNNNNNNNNNNNNNNNNNNNNNNNNNNNNNNNNNNNNNNNNNNCUGUCCGGCGAACCAACAAAUUUGGCUUGAAUACUCUACCCUUGAAAACUCCCGCGAACCCACGCGCUGGUGGGCCAUUGUAAUACAAUUGCUAAUUGUUGAGCAACUGGGAGCAGUUCUGGCUAUGUUGUCGCGAAGGCAUCAAGUCAGGAACACGUCAACAACAUUCUUCUAGUGUCGUUGCCGGGGACUGCCGUUAGCACUCGUCAAAACUCACAGUUUUGGCCUAUUCUCGCUAGUUUUCUAUACUAUACUCAUUGAUUUUGGGUGCCGCUGCAAUCCGAACGCUUCGGGAACCCUAGGGUCCGAUUACGGGAACUCGUCAAAACUCACAGUUUUGGCCUAUUCUUGCCAGAUUUCUAUGGUAUUACUCACUGAUUUGGGGUCCCGCUUUGAUCGGUUUAGGGAACUCGUCGAAACUCACAGAUUUGGCCUAUUCUAGCGAGUUCUUUAUACUAUUACUCACUGAUUUUUGGUCUCGCUGCGAUCCGAAUGUUCGGGGAGCCCUGUGGUUCGGCUACACGGUACUCAUCAAAACCCGCGGUUUGUGCCUAUUCUCGCCAAUUUUAUAUGCUAUUAAUCAAUCAUUUUGGGUCCCACUGCAAUCUAAACGUUCGGGGAACCCUGCGGUCCGAUUACGGGGAAAUCGUCAAAACUUCCAGAUUUGGCUUAUUCUCGAUAGUAUUGUAUGCUAUUACUCACUGAUUUUGGCUCAUGUUGCCGUCCAAACGUUCGGGGAACCCCGGGGUCCAGUUAGGGUACUCGUCAAAACUCAUAGCUUUGGCCUAUUAUCGUCAGUUUUCUAUGCUCUUAGCCACUGAUUUUUGGGUCCCGGUGCGAUCCGAAUACUCGGGGAACCCCGGGGUACGCUUACGGGCAAUUCGUCAAAACUCACUCAUUUUGGGACCAGCUGAGAACCAAACGUCCGAGGAACCUCGCGGUCCGGUUACGAGGAACUCGUCAAAACUUGUAGUUUUGGCCUAUUAUGGCUAGUUUUCUAUAUUAUUACUCACUCAUUUUGGGACCCGCUGCGAUCCCAAUGUUCGGGGAACCCUGGGGUCCGUUUAUAGCGCACUCACCAAAACUCGCUGUUUUGGCCUAUUCUGGCCAGUUUUCUAUGGCAUUACUUACUGAUUUUGGUUCUCGCUAUGAUCCAAAUGUUCUGGGAAACCCGUGAUCCAACUACGGGUUAUUCUUCGAACCCGUAGUUUUUGCCUACUCUGGCCAAUUUUCUAUGCUAUUACUCACUCAUUUUGGGUCCCGGUGCAAUCCAUACAUUCGGGGAACCCUGUGGUCCGGUUACGGGGAACUCAUCAAAACUCUGAGAUUUGGCCUAUUUUGGUCAGUUCUGUAUGCUAUUACUCGCUAAUUUAAGCCCAUGUUACCAUCCAAACGUUCGGGGAACCCCGGGGUCUAGUUACCCGGUACUCGUCAAAACUCACAGCUUUGGCCUAUUCUGGCCAGCUUUCUAUACUAUUAGUCACUCAUUUUGGGUCUCCGGGUGACUUGAACGUUUGGGGAACCCCGAGGUCCGGUUACUGGGAACUCGUCAAAACUCGGAAUUUUAGCCUAUUCUUGUCAGUUUUCUAUGCUCUUACUCACUAAAUUUUUAGGUCCCGCUGCGAUCCGAGCGUUGCGGGAACCCGGGUUCCGGUUACGGGGAACUCGUCCAAACUCGCAGUUUUGGCCUAUGAUGGCCAAUUUUCUAUACUAUUACUCACUCAUUUUGGGACCCGCUGAGAGCCAAACUUCCGGGGAACUUCGGGGUCCGGUUACGGGGCACUCGUCAAAACUCGUAGUUUUGGCUUAUUAUAGCAAGUUUUCUAUACUACUACACACUCAUUUUGGGACCCGCUGCAAUCUGAAUGUUUGGGGAACGCCGGGGUCCGGGGUCCGGCUACGGGGUACUCGUCAAAACCCGCAGAUUUUGCCUAUUCUUGCCAACUUUCUAUGCUAUUAAUCAAUCAUUUUGGUUCCCGCUGCAAUCAAAAAAUUCGAGGAACCUUGCUGUCCGGUUACGGGGAACUCGUCAAAACUCCCAGAUUUGGCCUAUUUUGACCACUUUUGUAUGCUAUUACUCACGUAUUUUGGGUCAUGUUGCUAUCCAAACGUUCAGGGAACCCCGGGGUCCGGUUACGGGGUACUCAUCAAAACUCACAGCUUUGGCCAAUUCUGGCCAGCUUUCUAUACUACUACUCACUCAUUUUGGGUCCUCGGGCGACCCGAACGUUCGGGGAACCCCGAGGUUCGGUUAGGGGAAACUCGUCAAAACUUGCAGUUUUGGCCUAUUCUCGUCGGUUUUCUAUGCUAUUAAUCACUGACUUUUGGGUCCCGCUGCGAUCCGAACGCUCGGGAAACCCCAGGGUCCGGUUACGGGUAAUUCGUCAAAACUCGCAGUUUUGGCCUAUGCUGGCCAGUUUUCCAUACUAUUACUCACUCAUUUUGGGACCCACUAAGAACCAAACAUCUGGGGAACCUCGGGUCCGGUUACAAGGAACUCGUCAAAACUCGCAGUUUUGGCCUAUUAUGUCUAGUUAUUAUACUUUUACUCACUAAUUUUGGGACCUGCUGCAGAUUACGGGGAACUCGUCCAAACUCAGAGAUUUGGCCUAUUCUAGGCAGUUUUCUAUACUAUCACUCGCUGAUUUUGGUUCUCGCUACGAUCCGAGCGUUCGGGGAAUCCCGGGGUCCGGCUACGGGGUACUCGUCGAAACCCGUAGUUUUUGCCUAUUCUGGCUAAUUAUGUAUCCUAUUAAUGAAUCAUUUUAGGUCCCGUUGCAAUCCAAACGUUCGGGGAACCCUGCGGUCCGGUUACGGGGAACUCAUCAAACUCCCAGAUUUGGCCUAUUCGGGCUAGUUUUGUAUGCUAUUAAUCACUGAUUUUGGCCCAUGUUGCCAUCAAAACAUUCGGGGAACCUCGGGGUCUGGUUACGGGGUACUCGUAAAAAAUCAGAGCUUUGGCCUAUUUUGGCCAACUUUCUAUACAAUUACUCACUCAUUUUGGGUCUCGGGGCGACUCGAACGUUCGGAGAUGUCGAACUCAUCAAAAUUCACAAUUUUGGCCUCUUCUCGUCGGUUUACCAUGCUCUUACUCAUUGAUUUUUGGGUCCCGCUGCGAUCCGAACGCUCGGGGAACCCCGCGGUCUGAUUACGGGGUGUUCGUCAAAACUCGCAAUUUUGGCCUAUGCUGGCCACUUUUGUUUUCUAUUACUCACUCAUUUUGGGACCGUUGAGAACCUAACGUCCGGGGAACCUCGGGGUCCGGUUAUGAGGAACUCGUCAAAACUCAUAGUUUUGGCCUAUUAUGGCUAGUUUUCUAUAUUAUUACUUAGUGAUAUUGGUUCUCGCUAUGAUCCGAACGUUCGGGGAACCCCGGGGUCCGGCUUCGGGGUACUCAUCAAAACCUGCAGUUUUGCCUAUUCUGGCCAUUUUUCUAUGGUAUUAAUCAAUCAUUUUGGUUCCCGCUGCAAUCGAAACGUUCGGGGAACCCUGCGGUCUCGUGACGGGGAACUCGUAAAAACUCCUAGGUUUGGCCUAUUCUGGCCAGUUUUGUAUGCUAUUACUCAUUGAUUUUGGCUCAUGUUCCCAUCCAAAUGUUCGGGGAACCCCGGGGUCCGGUUACGGGGAACUCGUCAAAACUCAGAGCUUUCGCCUAUUCUGGCCAGCUUUCUAUACUACUACUAACUCAUUUUGGGUCCCGGGGGGACCCGAACGUUCGGGGAACCCCAAAGUUCGGUUACGGGGAACUCGUCAAAACAUGCAGUUUUGGCCUAUUCUCGUCAGUUUUCUAUGCUAUUACUCACUGAUUUUUGGGUCCCGCUGCGAUCCAAAAGCGCGGAGAACCCCGGGGUCGGGUUACGGGGAAUUUGUCAAAACUCGCAGUUUUGGCAUAUGGUGGCUAGUUUUCUAUACUAUUACUCAAUCAUUUUGGGACCCGCUAAGAACCAAACGUCCAGGGAACCUCGGGUCCGGUUACAGGGAACUCGUCAAAACUCGCAGUUUUGGCCUAUUAUGGCUAGUUUUCUAUACUAUUACUCACUGAUUUUGGGACCCGCUGCGAUCCUAAUGUUCGGGGAACCCCGGGGUCUUGUUACGGGGAACUCGCCAAAACUUGCUGUUUUGGCAUAUUCUGGCCAGUUUCCUAUGCUAUUACUCACUGAUUUUGGGUCCCGUUGCAAUCCGGAUGUUCGGCGAACCCCGGGUUCCGGUUAAGGGGAAUCCUUCAAAACUCGCGGAUUUGGCCUAUUCUAGCCAGUUUUCCAUACUAUCACUCAUUUAUUUUGUUCUCAUUACGAUUCGAACAUUCGCGGAACCCCGUGGUCCAGCUACGGGGUACUCGUCAAAACCCGCAGUUUUGCCUAUUCUGGCCAUUUUUCAAUGCUAUUAAUCAAUCAUUCUAGGUCCCGUUGCAAUCCAAACAUUCGGGGAACCCUGCGGUCCGAUUACGGGGAACUCGUCAAAACUCCCAGAUUUGGCCUAUUCUGGCCAGUUUUAUAUGCUAUUACUCACUGAUUUUAGCUCAUGUUGGCAUCCAAACUUUUGCGGAACCCCGGGGUCCGGUUACGGGGUACUUAUCAAAACUCACAGCUUUGGCCUAUUCUGUCCAGCUUUCUAUACUAUUACUCACUCAUUUUGGGUCCCGGGGCGACCCGGUUCGGGGAACCCCGAGGUCUGCUUACGGGGAACUCGUCAAAACUCGCAGUAUUGGCCUAUUAUGGCUACUUUUCUAUGCUAUUACUUACUCAUGUUGGGACCUGCUAAGAACCAAACGUCCGGGGAACGUCGAGUCCGGUUACGGGGAACUCAUCAAAUUUGAAGUUUUGGCCUAUUUUCGCCAGCUUUCUAUACAAUUACUCACUCAUUUUGGGUCUCGGGGCGACCCGAAUGUUCGGGGAACCCCGAGGUCCGGUUAUGGGGAACUCGUCAAAUUCACAGUUUUGGCCUAUUCUUGUCACUUUUCUACGCUCUUACUCACUGAUUUUUGGGUCCCGCCGUGAUCCGAACGCUCGGGGAAUCCUGGGGUACGGUUACAGGGAAUUCGUCAAAACUCGCAGUUUUGGCCUGUGAUGGCCAGUUUUCUAUCCUAUUACUCACUCAUUUUGGGAGCCGCUGAGAACCAAACAUCCUGGGAACCUUUGUGUCCGGUUAUGGGGAAUUUGUAAAAACUCGCAUUUUUGCCUAUUAUGGCUAGUUUUCUAUACUAUUACUCGUUGAUAUUGUUCUCGCUACUAUUCGAACGUUCGGGGAACCCCGGGGUCCGGCUACGGGGUACUCGUCAAAACCCACAGUUUUGCCUAUUCUGGCCAAUUUUCUAUGCUAUUAAUCAAUCAUUUUGGUUCCCGCUGCAAUCCAAACGUUCGGGGGAACCAUGCGGUCCGGUUGCGGGGAACUCGUCAAAACUCGCAGUUUUAGCCUAUUAUGGCCAAUUUUCUAGGCUAUUACUCACUAAUUUUGGAUCAUUUGCCAUCCAAAUAUUCAGGAAACCCCGUUGGCCGGUUUAGGGGUACUCGUCAAAACUCACAGCUUUGGCCUAUUCUAGCCACUUUUCAAUACUAUAACUCAGUGAUUUUGGGUCCGUGGGCGACCCGAACAUUUGGGGAACCCCGAGGUCUGGUUACGGGGAACUCGUCGAAACUCGUGUUUUGGCCUAUUCUCGUAUGUUUUCUAUGCUAUUACUACUGAAUUUUUGGUGCCGCUUCGGUCCGGACGCCGAGGGAACCCCGGGGUCCGGUUACGGAGAAUUCAUCAAAACUCGCACUUUUGGCCUAUUAUGGCUAGUUUUCUGUAGUAUUAGUCACUCAUAUUGCUUCUCGCUACGAUCUGAACGUUCGGAGAACCUCGGGGUCCGGCUACGGGGUAAUCGCCAAAACCCGCAGUUUUGCAUAUUCUGGCCAAUUUUCUAUGCUAUUAAUGAAUCAUUUUGGUUCCCGCUGCAAUCCAAACGCUCGGGGAACCCCGUGGUCCGGCUAAAGGGAAUUCGACAAAACUCUCAGUUUUGGCCUAUGCUGGCUAGUUUUCUAUACUAUUACUCACUCAUUUUGGGACCCGCUGAGAACCAAAUGUCUGGGGAACCUUGGGUCCGGUUACGGGAAACUCGUCAAAACUCAUAGUUUUGUCCAAUUAUGGCUUAUUUUCUAUACAAUUACUCAUUGAUUUUGGGACCCGUUGCGAUCCGAAUGUUCGGGGAACCCUGGGGUCCGGUUACGGAGAGCUCGUGAAAACUCACAGUUUUGGCCUAUGUUGGCCAGUUUUCUAUGCUAUUACUCACUAAUUUUGGUUCUCGCUACGAUCCGAACAUUCGGGGAACCCCGGGGUCCGGCUACGGGGUACUCGAUGAAACCCACAAUUUUUGACUAUUCUGACCAAUUUUCUAUGUUAUUACUCACUCAUUUUGGGUCCCGCUGCAAUCCAAACAUUCAGGGAACCCUGUAGUCCGGUUACGGGGAAGUCAUCAAAACUCAUAUAUUUGGCCUAUUAUGGCCAAUUCUGUAUGCUAUUACUCACUGAUUUUGGCUCAUGUUGCCAUCCAAACGUUCGGGGAACCCCGGGGUCCGGUUACGGGGUACUCGUCAAAACUCACAGCUUUGGCCUAUUCUGGCCAGCUUUCUAUACUAUUACUCACUCAUUUUUUGUCCCGGGGCAACCCAAACGUUUGGGGAACCCCGAGGUACGGUCACGGGGAACUCGUCAAAACUCGCAGUUUUAGCCUAUUCAGGUCUGUUUUCUAUGAUCUUACUUACUGAUUUUUGGGUCCCGCUACGAUCCGAAUGCUCACGGAACGCCGGGAUCUUGUUACGGGGAACUCGUCAAGACUCACAGUUUUGGGCUAUGCUGGCCAAUUUUCUAUACUAUUACUCACUCAUUCUGGGACCCGCUGAGAACCAAACGUCAGGGGAACCUUCGGUCGGGUUACGGGGAACUCACCAAAACUCACAGUUUUGGCCUAUUAUGGCUAGUUUUCAAUACUAUUACUCACUCAUUUUGGGACCCGCUGCGAUUUGAAUGUUCGGGGAACCCCGGGGUCCGGUUACGCGGAACUCGCCAAAAAUCACAGUUUUGGCAUAUUCUGGCAAGUUUUCUAUGCUAUUACUCACUGAUUUUGGGUCCCGCUGCGAACCUGAUGUUCAGUGUACCCCGGGGUCCAGUUAAGGGGAACUCGUGAAACUCGCAUAUUUGGCCUAUUCUAGCGAAUUUUCUAUACUAUUACUCACGGAUUUUGGUUCUUGCUAUGGUCAAAAUGUUCGGGGAACCCCGGGGUACGGUUAUGUGGUACUCAUCUAAACCCGCGGUUUUUGCCUAUUCUGGCCAAUUUUCUAUGCUAUUAAUCAAUCAUUUUGGNNNNNNNNNNAUUCGGGGAACCUUGUGGUCCGGUUACGGGGAACUCGUCAAAACUCCCAUAUUUGGUCUAUUCUGGCCAGUUUUGUAUGGUAUUACUCACUGAUUUCGGCUCAUGUUUUAUACGUCCCAAACGUAUGUAUAAUUUCUUCUUGCUCCAUGCAAGUUUUGGGUGAUAUUCCUAUGUGUUUUGUACACUUUCAUACCUUUUUCAACAUAUUUGGACUAACCUACUAACUCAGUGCACCAAGUGCCAGUUUCUGUUUGCUGAUGUGUGUGAAUUGCAGGUUUAUACCCAUAUUUACAGUGCCCGAAAAAUUCCCCAAAAAAUAUAUAAAAAAUCAGCGUUCGAGAACACUCCAUACGGCAAAAAGGAGGGCCAGAGGGGGGCACCAGGCCUCCAGGCGACCUGGUAGCGUGGCCUGCCCCCUAGCCGCGCGAGUAGGCCGCCUGGGUGGGGCCCACCCCCUCUGGUGCCCUACCUUGGCUCCUAUUUUUACCCCCGCGGAGGAAACCCUGAUUCCGGAACCCUUUUCUCCAAAAGCAAUUCCGAUUUCCACCGCCAUCGCCAACAAGUCUCGGGGGACCAGAAUUCCUGUGCCGCCACCCUGCCGGGACGGGGAAGUGCCCCCGGAUUCAUCUCCAUCGACGUUGCUUCCUCCCUCCAUGAAGCGGGAGUAGUUCCUCCUCGGGGUUGAGGUCUUCCAAAGUAGCUAUGUGGUUAAUUCUCUCUCCCAUGAUGUGAUCUUGAUUGUGAUCAUAGGCUAUGUUAACCUAGGGUGAUCCCAUGAUGUUUCCUCUUCUUCUAUGUAUUGGAUUGAUGUACUCACUUGAUCUUAUCUAGUAUAAUCCCCGAGACCAUGGUGGCAGCGGUCUAUUGGACAUGGAUUAGAAAAUUAUUUUCAUGAGUGAUUUCCUCUUUUGUGAAUUGAUUGAACAUUGAGAGUCUCUUGGUGCUUGUCUUUGACUAUCCUUGAGAUAAGUUGUGGUGUUUGUGGUACUCUCUUUGGAUGGCCACGGUGACAUUGGGAAAUCCAUAGAUGAGAACUAGGAACUCUAAGGUGUUCUUUUGUAGCCCUACAUAAUUCUCGUCCUCCCUUGAUCACAAAUGAAUAACCUCCAAGUACAUCACCAUUGCAUGUUUUAGUGGAAAUAUCAUGUGAUUAGACUAUGUUAAUGUUGUUGGGAGUUGCCACUAGUGAAAGUAUGAAGCCUAGGCCUUUUUUCUCACCAUUGUUACACCGUUUAUGCUCACUUUUGUCACUUGUUACCUGAUACGUCUCAAACGUAUCUAUAAUUUUUGAUGGUUUCACGCUGUUAUCUUGCCUUUUUUGUAUGUUUUACGUACCUUUUAUAUCUUUUUGGGACUAACUUAUUAAUUCAGUGCCAAGUGCUAGUUCCUGUUUUUUCCGUGUUUUUGACUCUUUUCAGAUCUAAUUUUGGAACGGAGUCCAAACGGAAUAAAAACCCCGAAAUGAUUUUUUUCCCGAACGGAAGAAGUCCAGGGGCUUUUGGGCCAAGCCAGGUGGGCUCCAGGGAGCCAACAAGCCCCCACUCCGCCACCGGGGGAGGCGGCGGUGGGCAGGCUUGUGGCCUCCCUGGCCGCCCCCUGACCUAGGUCUUUGGCCUAUAAAUUCCCAAAUAUUUCGCUAAAAACCAGGGGAGCCUCGAAAAUACUUUUCCGCCGCCGCAAGCUUCCGUUUCCGCGAGAUCUCAUCUGGAGACCAUUCCCGGCACCCAGCCGGAUGGGACUUUGGAGGUGGAGGGCUUCUUCUUCAUCAUCAUCGCCCCUCCAAUGACUCGUGAGUAGUUCACUUCAAACCUACGGGUCCGUAGUUAGUAGCUAGAUGGCUUCUUCUCUCUCUUGGAUCUUCAAUACAAAGUUCUCCAUGAUCUUCAUGGAGAUCUAUCCGANNNNNNNNNNNNNNNNNNNNNNNNNNNNNNNNNNNNNNNNNNNNNNNNNNNNNNNNNNNNNNNNNNNNNNNNNNNNNNNNNNNNNNNNNNNNNNNNNNNNCCGGAUACGUAUUUAUUCUUAAUGGGGGUGCGGUAAGCUGGUGCAGUUCCAAGCAAAGCGUUGUAGCAGAUUCUACAUGUGAAGCGGAGUAUAUGGCUGCCUCGGAGGCGGCUAAGGAGGGUGUCUGGAUGAAGCAGUUCAUGACGGAUCUUGNNNNNNNNNNNNNNNNNNNNNNNNNNNNNNNNNNNNNNNNNNNNNNNNNNNNNNNNNNNNNNNNNNNNNNNNNNNNNNNNNNNNNNNNNNNNNNNNNNNNNNNNNNGGUGCCAAGCGCACUGAAUCCAAUAACCUUGUUCUGUGACAACACGGGUGCCAUUGCCUUAGCAAAGGAACCACGGUUUCACAAGAAGACCAGACACAUCAAACGACGCUUUAACCUCAUCCGCGACUACGUCGAGGGAGAGGACGUAAAUAUAUGCAAAGUGCACACGGAUCUGAAUGUAGCAGACCCGCUGACUAAACCUCUUCCACGGCCAAAGCAUGAUCAACAUCAGAACUGUAUGGGUGUUAGAUUUAUUACAAUGUAAUUCGCAUGAUGAUGUGAGGGCUAGAUUAUUGACUCUAGUGCAAGUGGGAGACUGAUGGAAUUAUGCCCUAGAGGCAAUAAUAAAUAUAGUUAUUAUUAUAAUUCCUGUAUUAAGAUAAUCGUUUAUUAUCCANNNNNNNNNNNNNNNNNNNNNNNNNNNNNNNNNNNNNNNNNNNNNNNNNNNNNNNNNNNNNNNNNNNNNNNNNNNNNNNNNNNNNNNNNNNNNNNNNNNNCACUCGGUAAUACAACAUCACACACAAGCCUUGCAAGCAAUGUAACUUAGUGUAAGUUGCGGGAUCUUGUAUUACGGAACGAGUAAAGAGACNNNNNNNNNNNNNNNNNNNNNNNNNNNNNNNNNNNNNNNNNNNNNNNNNNNNNNNNNNNNNNNNNNNNNNNNNNNNNNNNNNNNNNNNNNNNNNNNNNNNNNNNNNNNNNNNNNNNNNNNNNNNNNNNNNNNNNNNNNNNNNNNNNNNNNNNNNNNNNNNNNNNNNNNNNNNNNNNNNNNNUAUACGGGAUUAUAUGAAUCCUUAGCACUGAGGUUCAAACGAUAAGAUCUUCGUAGAAUAUGUAGGAUCCAAUAUGGGCAUCCAGGUCCCGCUAUUGGAUAUUGACCGAGGAGUCUCUCGGGUCAUGUCUACAUAGUUCUCGAACCCGCAGGGUCUGCACACUUAAGGUUCGACGUUGUUCUAUGCGUAUAUGAGUUAUAUGGUUGGUUACCGAAUGUUGUUCGGAGUCCCGGAUGAGAUCACGGACGUCACGAGGGUUUCUGGAAUGGUCCGGAAACGAAGAUUGAUAUAUAGGAUGACCUCAUUUGAUUACCGGAAGGUUUUCGGAGUUACCGGGAAUGUACCGGGAAUGACGAAUGGGUUCCGGGAGUUCACCGGGGGGGCAACCCACCCCGGGGAAGCCCAUAGGCCUUGGGGGAGACACACCAGCCCUUAGUGGGCUGGUGGGACAGCCCACAAGUGCCCUAUGCGCCAAGGAGAAGAAAAUCAAGAGAGAAAAAAAAGGAGGAGGUGGGAAGGAAGGGGGACUCCCUCCCACCAAACCUAGUCCAACUCGGUUUGGGGGGGGGGAGAGUCCUCCCCCUUGGACUCGGCCGACCCCCUUGGGGCUCCUUGAGCCCCAAGGCAAGACCCCCUCCCUCCCACCUAUAUAUACGGAGGUUUUAGGGCUGAUUUGAGACGACUUUUCCACGGCAGCCCGACCACAUACCUCCACAGUUUUUCCUCUAGAUCGCGUUUCUGCGGAGCUCGGGCGGAGCCCUGCUGAGACAAGGUCAUCACCAACCUCCGGAGCGUCGUCACGCUGCCGGAGAACUCUUCUACCUCUCCGUCUCUCUUGCUGGAUCAAGAAGGCCGAGAUCAUCGUCGAGUUGUACGUGUGCUGAACGCGGAGGUGCCGUCCGUUCGGUACUAGAUCGUGGGACUGAUCGCGGGAUUGUUCGCGGGGGCGGAUCGAGGGACGUGAGGACGUUCCACUACAUCAACCGCGUUCUCUAACGCUUCUGUUGUACGGUCUACAAGGGUACGUAGAUCACUCAUCCCCUCUCGUAGAUGGACAUCACCAUGAUAGGUCUUCGUGCGCGUAGGAAAGUUUUUGUUUCCCAUGCGACGUUCCCCAACAGCUUGUGACUUUGAGACGUCGUCUUCAGAGGGCAAGAUCUAACAUGCUGCCCUUUAACUUUGCACUUGAAGCAAAUGAUUUUGGCCGAAUUCUUGACUUGUUCUAGGCCCCUCUUGUUCUUGUUUGAGUUUACUCCAACAUCAUUUUUGUCAUUCGGAGAUGUUUGCUCACACAGGACGUUGUUGAGUGUGGACAUCCCUUCAUGACACUGUUCCAAGUCUUUCUUCAAAGAAGUGACUUGGGCCUUGAGCUCUUCGAUUUCCUCUGCACGGUUAGUAUCAAUGCAAGUACUAGAGGAAGUGUCGUGGUUUUGUCACGGCAGAUGUCCUCGUGAAAGGANNNNNNNNNNNNNNNNNNNNNNNNNNNNNNNNNNNNNNNNNNNNNNNNNNNNNNNNNNNNNNNNNNNNNNNNNNNNNNNNNNNNNNNNNNNNNNNNNNNNGAUUGCAAGAUCUAAAGAUAUACCUUCAAGCGCUAACCUCCCUGGCAACGGCGCCAGAAAAGAGCUUGAUGUCUACUAGGCAACCUUCUCCUUGUAGACGUUGUUGGGCCUCCAAGGGCAGAGGGUUGUAGGACAGUAGCAUUUUUCCNNNNNNNNNNNNNNNNNNNNNNNNNNNNNNNNNNNNNNNNNNNNNNNNNNNNNNNNNNNNNNNNNNNNNNNNNNNNNNNNNNNNNNNNNNNNNNNNNNNNNNNNNNNNNNNNNNNNNNNNNNNNNNNNNNNNNNNNNNNNNNNNNNNNNNNNNNNNNNNNNNNNNNNNNUCUCUUGUGUCCCCAACACACCCAAUACAAUGGUAAGUUGUAUAGGUGCACUAGUUCGGCGAAGAGAUGGUGAUACAAGUGCAAUAUGGAUGGCAUAUAUAGGUUUUUGUAAUCUGAAAUUACAAAAACAGCAAGGUAACUAGUAACAAAAGUGAGCACGAACGGUAUUGCNNNNNNNNNNAGGCGAAGAGAUGGUGAAACAAGUGCAAUAUGGAUGGCAUAUAUAGGUUUUCGUAAUCUGAAAUUAUAAAAACAGCAAGGUAACUAGUAACAAAAGUGAGCACGAACGGUAUUGCAAUGCGUGGAAACAAGGCCUAGGGUUUAUACUUUCACUAGUGAAGUUCUCUCAACAAUGAUAACAUAAUUGGAUCAUAUAAAUAGCCCUCAACAUGCAACAAAGAGUCACUCCAAAGUCACUAAUAGCAGAGAACAAACGAAGAGAUUAUUGUCGGGUACGAAACCACCACAAAGUUAUUCUUUCUGAGCGAUCUAUUCAAGAGUUCGUACUAGAAUAACACCUUAAGAUACAUAUCAACCAAGACCCUAAUGUCACAUAGAUACUCCAUUGUCACCUCAAGUAUCCGUGGGCAUGAUUAUACGAUAUGCAUCACACAAUCUCAGAAUCAUCUAUUCAACUAACACAUAGAACUUCAAAGAGUGCCCCAAAGUUUCUACCGGAGAGUCAAAACGUGUGCCAACCCCUAUGCAUAGGUUCCNNNNNNNNNNAAUCAUAUAAAUAGCCCUCAACAUGCAACAAAGAGUCACUAAUAGCGGAGAACAAACGAAGAGAUUAUUGUCGGGUACGAAACCACCACAAAGUUNNNNNNNNNNCAAUGUCACGAACCCGCAAGUUGAUCACCAAAACAUACAUCGAGUACUCACAUGAAGCAAACGUGUGCCAACCCAUAUGCAUAGGUUCCCAAUGUCACAAACCCGNNNNNNNNNNGAUAAGAUAACUUCAAAGGGGAAACUCAAUUCAUUACAAGAAGGAAGAGGGGGAAGAACAUCAUAAGAUCCAACUAUAGUAGCAAAGCCUAUGGUACAUCAAGAUCAAGACAUCUCAAGAACACGAGAGAGAGAGAGAGANNNNNNNNNNGAAUGUCACGAACCCGCAAGUUGAUCACAAAAACAUACAUCGAGUACUCACAUGAAUCAAACGUGUGCCAACCCAUAUGCAUAGGUUCCCAAUGUCACAAACCCGCAAGUUGAUCACCGCAGAUAGACACGUGCAAGACAUACAUCAAGUGUUCUCAAAGACUCAAUCCAAUAAGAUAACUUCAAAGGGGAAACUCAAUUCAUUACAAGAAGGGAGAGGGGGAAGAACAUCAUAAGAUCCAACUAUAGUUGCAAAGCCCACGGUACAUCGAGAUCAAGACAUCUCAAGAACACGAGAGAGAGAGAGAUCAAACACAUAGCUACUGGUACAUACCCUCAGCCCCGAGGGUGAACUACUCCCUCCUCGUCAUGGAGAUUGCCGGGAUGAUGAAGAUGGCCACCGGAGAUGGAUUCCCCCUCCAGCAGGGUGCCAGAACGGGCUCCAGAUUGGUUUUUGGUGGCUAUAGAGGCUUGCGGCGGCGGAACUCCCGAUCUAGGUUUCUUUCUGGGGGUUUCUGAAUUUAUAGGAAUUUAUGGCGGCGGAAUUACGUCGGUUGGGCCCACGAGGAGGUCACAAGCCUGGUAGGUGCGGCCUAGGGUGGGUCGCGCCUCCCGGGCUUGUGACUCCCUCGUGGCUCUUCUGGCCUUNNNNNNNNNNNNNNNNNNNNNNNNNNNNNNNNNNNNNNNNNNNNNNNNNNNNNNNNNNNNNNNNNNNNNNNNNNNNNNNNNNNNNNNNNNNNNNNNNNNNGGGAGAGGAUCAUUCACGCUCCGCCGGACCUCCAGCGAGUCAGCAUCCUGAGCCUGAUUUCGAUUCCGCCGGGGUCCCGGAGAUCCGCUAGAGCUCGCGAAAUCCCCGUGUGGCGCGGGGCGACGGGAGUGCGGGAGAUGAACGCGAGAAAUGAUAUCGCCCGCGCGCCUGUGCUCUCUCUUUUGUGUGCUCUGGAUGUGCGCUCGAUAGCUUGAGUACAUACUAUUGGAGCAUGCGAUUGGAUGGUAUAACUCGCUUAUCCCGUUUCUGUUUAGUUUAGUCUUAGCAAUAGUAGCUAUAUGCGUAUAUGUUUCUACUAUAUGCGUAGUAGUACAUGCUAGUCUGUUCCGUAAUCAGUAUAUCUUUAAUCUAGUUGAUAUCAUGACAGUGAUUAUUUCGUGGAUUAAUCUGAUCAAAAAAUUACCUAUUUACUAAACAUGUUGUGGACAAAGAAGUGACCCCUUGCAGUGUUUCACUAUGUGGUAUAGCUCAAUUGGCUUUGGCCCCACCAUGGUGGGAAGCAUAAAAGGACGUCGCUGGGAGCUUGGAGGAGGCCAACGGUGGCGAUGGGAGGUGAGGGAACGGCGCCGCUGAGGCUGAAAUUUCCUCCUCGGUUCGUCAUCGUCGAUCUAGAUCGAAUGGGUACCCCGAGUGGGAAGACCCGUUUUUGAUUAUUUGCUUGCAAAAUAUGGGUGCUGCUCGUGGUGUGUUUUGGGCCGAAAGAAAGUUGUAUAUUCGGUUAUGGUGUAUGAUGAAUAUUUAAAACAAGUUAGUAAGAAAAUAAUUACGGUACAUCAUGAAGAAAAAAAUUCAAAAAAUUAACAAUGAGCCCACUGAUUUUGUGGCUGCCUUCGCCACCGGUUAGUGCACAGUCCAGUGUCGACGAUCUACACAAAUCAUGCCUUGGCGUGGCUGUCGGGCCGGGGAGGACGACUCAACCACACGUCCACAUUUUCAAGUCUGCACUGCCGUCAACCUGACAACAUCCCCACGGCUUGGAUUUGGUCAGUCCCCAGACAGUAACCACUAGGAGCACUCCACUGACAUUCUAAACGUCUGUGUACUUAAAGUCGUAAUAUUAUUCAUGCUGGACUCGUCUUUCUAGUAGCUAGGCUAAAAUAUAUCGACUAAGCUAAUCAAUCCGGAUUGGCAGGCUCUAGUCAAUGCUUUGCCAAAAAUAUAUAUAUGAAAAUGAAGCACUACAGUCAAACCGUGCAAUCUUUGUGAAACGUCCCUUUGCUGGAACAGAUGGGCCAACAAAGACUUGACUAAUUCUUGUCAUCAUCAUCAGAAUGCUCAGGAGUGUACUAACGUUUUCCUGGACCGUGUCUCCUACGCCCCGCCCCGUACGUCGCAUAUAAACCAGAACCAGCGCUGGAUCCGUUAACCCCUCGCACCCAUCAGAUGCCAGCUCCACUUGCGCGCACCGGCGACGGGAGAGCACGACAGCGAGCUGCACGCGCCGGUUGGUCUAGCUCGCUCUAGCCCCACCAUGGCGGCACGUCACCGGCGCCACCGCAUCGAGGCACAGAAGCCAGCAUGGCUCGUCACGAUCAAGGCCGCUCCGCCGGUGCCCGCGAGGGGCGACCCUGCCAAGAAGCUCGCCGCGCCCGCUCGCUCGCCGAUCCUGUUGUCGCCGUCGGCGUGGCAGAGGUGCAUGGCCGUCGGCGACACAGGGGUCGCGCCGGGGUCACCGAGGAUCGGCUGCAUGGGGCAGGUAAAAGGGGCACGGAGAUGCUCGAGGGCGCACGACCCGGCCUCCUCGAGGGGACCGGCGGCGUCGGCCCUCCCGUGCGGCAGCCUGGCGGGGCUGUUCGGGCGGCGGCCGACGGGUAGGAAGUCCCGUGCAUACUGCAAGGUCAGAGACGUGCCAAGCGACUCGUCGUCGUCGUCAGGGAGCGCACGGGCAUCGUCGUCAUCAAGGGCCUGUGCGCCGCGCCCGCUUGAGCUUGCCCCGCCGCUGCCGGUGCCAUCACCGGUGGUGAGACGGCCGGCCUUGGAAGAGAACGCCCCCAGCCUUUGGGAGCGGCGGCGCGGAGGAAAAAGGUCCUGGAAGGUCUCCAGCUAACGUAGGAUCCUUCCAGGUAGUGUUGAGUUGCCGUCUACUGCCAAGGAAAUUCCUCACACUACGUUGAGAACAAGAUAACUAUCUAUUUGUAGGUGUACGCAUAGGGAUACUUGUUAGUACUAGAAGAAAUAUUGACUAUGUAUGUGACAUGAUUUAGACAAGAAAUACAAGAUGUUUGGGAGCUUCACCAUGCAUAGAAAUUGACUUCACCGAUAAAGGGCCUGCAGAUAGCUUGUAUUCAAGCUGAUGAGAAUACCACUAUGGAGUUCCAAUUCACAGCACAUAAUCUGCUGCCAAAUCAUUUGAUGUUUUAUCCCAGACGCAGAUAGGUAACUCGUUCUCAAUUUAGAUAAAAGCUGGCAAGCAUGAGGCAGGCAGAUACAGCAAUGUAUAAUCCUAACCUCUUGGACCAAAGCAACUAUUUGCAAGUUACAAAUCAAGCAAAGUUGGUACAGAUGUAUAGCAGCAGCAAUAAAAAUAGCAAACAACGAUCACGACGACAUGAGCUUCAAGCCAUUGUCCGGCAUUCCCAUUCCACCGGCAAGAUCGGCAUCUAUUUGUGUGUGUGGGGCUGGUCCAGACAACUGCUUGACCCUACAUGAAUCAAAAGGAAGUGAUUAGAUAGGAGACUAAUAUAUAAUGCCCACUUACACACAUCAAGAUCUUUCUACAGCUUCGUAUGUUUCUGUCAAGAUCAAGUUAUUCGUGGAGAAUCAAAGACAUGUUUGAGCUAUGCUUAUGUCUACGAAUUAGAUCCAACAUAAUCAAAGGUCUUUCAUCAGGCUAAAACUCGAGAAACACGGGUCAAUGUUCUUACUUCUUAGCAACUGCAUUACGUUAACACGGUAGAAUUGGCAAUUGAACAUCCAAAACUUGCACGCGAUUCAAAUAAACAGUUACUUCAUCAGCACUGUGCGAGAGAAUUUAGAGCAGAGUCUCCUCUGUUCACCUAUAACAUCAUGCAACAUAGUGCAUGUAUUAGGUUUCUCUUGAUUGAUUGGCAAUCGUAAACACAGUGCAUGUCAUGAGGGAGGAAAGGAACGUCAUAUGCAAGUGUGCUGCACAAGAGGCAUGGCUGUGGGAUGUGCUAGAUUUAGUCACACUGCGCCGAUGUAUUGCUAUUUAAAUUAUCAUUGGCAUAUUUAAAUUAUCUCCCCAAAUCUGAUUCUAAGGACUGGUACUGGGCAUGGGUAUCGACACAAGUGCACCAGCUCAGGGAGUUCUGGUGCAUCAUAUAACUCAGAACAUAAGCUUCAACAAGUUCACUCAGAACAAGGGGAUUACCUCUUCUUGUGGCGCUUUGAGCGGUAGUGAUCCUCCUUCACGGCCUCGUCCGCAAAGUACCGACUGCAGCCACCAGCAGAACAAAUACUAAAUAAUCAGCAGGAAAUAGAGUUGCAUUGCUGUAUGAGAAACUGAAAAAUGAAGCUCCUCACAAGCACAGAACAAAUCAUAGCGUGAUACAGUGAUUCACAAGUACAGUUGCCUGCCUGCCUACGCAUCUUGAUUCAAUUACGGCACUAUCAAAACAACCCAUAGAUCCCCAAGUAUUCAUACAGAGAAACUACAGCUCCCCGUAGCAUAUGUGCAGCGACAUACUUAAAUUUAUGCAACUAAUCACAUCCUAAUUGACCCAGAAACGCCAUACUGUUUUGUUUGCAACAGCAUGUAAAUAGGACCAUCAAAUCUGUGCUUGGAACCGACGGAGGAAAUCGAAGCAGAGUGGUGGUAGAGGGUUGGGAGGCGUACUCGCAGUGGAGGCAGUAGAACUGGCCCAUGCCAGGGAGGUCCUCGUCGACGGGCAGCGGCUUUCCCUCGCAGUCCUUGCCCUGGUCGGCCAGCUUGACGAGCUCGUCGUAGACGGCGUCGUCGGCUUUGACGAGGAACUUGCCGCGGCGCACCGUCUUGCAGUUGAGACGGCGCUUCUUGACCUUGCGGUGCGGGCACUUGCCUCCCAUCGGCGGCGGCGGCGGCUAGGGUUUCGGCUCCGGGGGGAAACGAACCCUGGAGAGCGGAAGUAUGGAGAGAGAG
This 31529-nucleotide long non-coding RNA is filed under the name Hordeum vulgare. RNAcentral describes it as "long non-coding RNA (HVUL_LNC020943)". Lineage: Eukaryota; Viridiplantae; Streptophyta; Magnoliopsida; Poales; Poaceae. The record is from RNAcentral.